This 468-nucleotide ribosomal RNA is filed under the name uncultured bacterium. RNAcentral's name for it is "partial 16S ribosomal RNA". It matches the Rfam family "Bacterial small subunit ribosomal RNA", at positions 28 to 507 of the family's 1533-position model. The record is from RNAcentral.
GACGAACGCUGGCGGCGUGCUUAACACAUGCAAGUCGAACGGACAGACCCUGCUUUUGUGGGGUGCUCGAGUGGCGAACGGGUGAGUGACACGUGAGUAACAUGCCCUUGACUUUGGGAUAACUUCAGGAAACUGGGGCUAAUACCGGAUAGGAGCUCUUGCUGCAUGGUGGGGGUUGGAAAGUUUCGGCGGUUGGGGAUGGACUCGCGGCUUAUCAGCUUGUUGGUGAGGUAGUGGCUUACCAAGUCUGUGACGGGUAGCCGGCCUGAGAGGGUGACCGGGCACCAGACGACUGAGGUACGGCGCAGACUCCUACGGGAGGCAACAGUGGGGAGCAUGGCAGAGUGGAGGGAAGCCUGAGACGACAACGCCGCGUGCGGGAUAACGUCCUUUGAGUGGUAAACCGCUGUGUCCUGUGACGAAGCGUGAGUGACGGUAAUGAGUAAAGAAGCACCGGCUAACUACGUG